Molecule: long non-coding RNA, 474 nt
Organism: Pseudopipra pipra
Lineage: Eukaryota; Metazoa; Chordata; Aves; Passeriformes; Pipridae
Exons: 2
Source: RefSeq, a predicted model, not a curated record
AAGGUUAGGAUGACCUUUUAUUCCUUCUGCUCUGCCCUGAAUGGACCUUUCCUGCACCAGACUUAGAUAACCCACAAAAAGGAGAGUUGAAAUCUGUAUUGCUUCCAAGAGGGACCAAACUGGAGGAAAAGCAGGAACCUUAAAUGACCUUCUGUUGAAAAAGAGAAAGGUUAUCAAAUCAAAAGCUCAGGAAAAAGAAGCCCACGUGAUGUUGUUUCACAUGAUGCUGAUACUGAAGAUCAGAUACCUGAUCAGUGGGGCCCCAGCAGCGGAAAUAUCUUUAGCUGGAAAAUUAAACUAAGAGAUUAUACUGUCACCAAAGCAGGCUCAUAAAAGUAUUCUUAUUAAAUCUCUCCACAGGACUAAGGAACUAAUAAAUUAGCUAGCUCCUUAAAUGAAAACUGCUAAGUAUCAAACCCAACAAUGAAUCUCACCAGUAAAUUUUGAAUUGCAACAAAAAUCAAAGAUCCUGAA